RNAcentral lists this unclassified non-coding RNA (578 nucleotides) under Rhodotorula toruloides. Lineage: Eukaryota; Fungi; Basidiomycota; Microbotryomycetes; Sporidiobolales; Sporidiobolaceae. The record is from RNAcentral.
UGUCGGAAGCGAAGACAAGAAGCGAAGGGAGAGCGUCGUGGGAGAACGCAGCAACGACCUCCGCCCGCUCGAGCGAUACCGAGGGUCUCUCCGUACUUUAGCAUGCAAGUAAAGUCGCGGUAACGGCGGAAUUCGACGUUGGAGCCGCCCUCUCGCCGCCCAACGACCCACUCCUCCUGGGAAGGUCAGCGUCGAGCUGUUCCGCCAGAAGGCUAACGCAGACGUCAAGGGAGCUCGACACAGUCGCUGUUGGACGGCGCGAGUUGACGGCAGUGAGCGAAAGAAGAAGGGAGAGAGAGAGGAGGAAGGGAGACGCAAGGGAGACGUCGACGACAGCAGGGGAGGCGGAGCUCUCGCCGAGCGAAGUGUUGGUGGUCGGCGAUGAGUUUGAGUCGGACUACGAAGCGCCUCGCAAGGCAGGCCUGCAAAGCCUGCUCCUUCGACGAACAACACGCUCGAGCGAGCUAUCAGGACGACGAGAGGAAUCUGCGAAGCGAGGACGUGGUAGCGAGUCUAUUGAACGUGGUAGAAUACAUCAAGCGGGAGAACGAGGGAGGAAGCAAGCGGUAGACGAAACG